Molecule: microRNA, 21 nt
Filed under: Drosophila ananassae
Lineage: Eukaryota; Metazoa; Arthropoda; Insecta; Diptera; Drosophilidae
Also listed under: 4 other names
Description: miR-2c-RA
Source: RNAcentral
UAUCACAGCCAGCUUUGAUGG